AUGCUUACCUGGCAGGGGAGAUACGAUGAUCACGAAGGUGGUUUUCCCAGGGCGAGGCUUAUCCAUUGCACUCCGGAUGUGCUGACCUCUGCGAUUUCCCCAAAUGUGGGAAACUCGACUGCAUAAUUUGUGGUAGUGGGGGACUGCGUUCGCGCUUUCCCCUGGUACUUUUGUGAUGUAAAUAGUAGCUGAACGCUUAGUGUUUUUGCAGUUCGAGGUUGUGGAUUUGUGCUUUGUAGCUGUGUUGCGGGUGGCCGGUUGCUUCUGCUUGCAACAGUUAAUUUUCGCUUGUGAAAUCACGUUCGGGAGCAGCUGGCAGCUAUCCACUGGGUCUCUUGGGAAGCGAA
Molecule: long non-coding RNA, 347 nt
Filed under: Pongo abelii (Sumatran orangutan)
Lineage: Eukaryota; Metazoa; Chordata; Mammalia; Primates; Hominidae
Description: lincRNA
Rfam family: U1 spliceosomal RNA (bases 1-164)
Source: RNAcentral